AGUGAACGCUGGCGGUAGGCCUAACACAUGCGAGUCGAACGGCAGCACAGUAAGAGCUUGCUCUUACGGGUGGCGAGUGGCGGACGGGUGAGGAAUACAUCGGAAUCUACUUUUUCGUGGGGGAUAACGUAGGGAAACUUACGCUAAUACCGCAUACGACCUACGGGUGAAAGCAGGGGAUCUUCGGACCUUGCGCGAUUGAAUGAGCCGAUGUCGGAUUAGCUAGUUGGCGGGGUAAAGGCCCACCAAGGCGACGAUCCGCAGCUGGUCUGAGAGGAUGAUCAGCCACACUGGAACUGAGACACGGUCCAGACUCCUACGGGAGGCAGCAGUGGGGAAUAUUGGACAAUGGGCGCAAGCCUGAUCCAGCCAUACCGCGUGGGUGAAGAAGGCCUUCGGGUUGUAAAGCCCUUUUGUUGGGAAAGAAAAGCAGCAGGUUAAUACCCCGCUGUUCUGACGGUACCCAAAGAAUAAGCACCGGCUAACUUCGUG
This 492-nucleotide ribosomal RNA is filed under the name uncultured bacterium. RNAcentral's name for it is "partial 16S ribosomal RNA". It matches the Rfam family "Bacterial small subunit ribosomal RNA", at positions 29 to 507 of the family's 1533-position model. The record is from RNAcentral.